ACCUGCGUAACCCUGACAUAUUAUAUUUGUGCCUGUUCCAAAUCAAGAACAUGUAAUUUAUUGGUUAUCGUUUGGUUUUGUUUAUUUAAUUUAUCUGUUCUUUAUUGUUUGGUACAAAAAUCAGGCCGUUAGUUUUAGUGUAAGUUGUUUUACUUUUGUUAUUUAAGGGAUUUUUAUAAUUUAUACGGCAUGGGUUUUGCUCACUGUUGAAGGCCUUAAGAUGACAUAUAGUUGUCAAUUUUUAAUUCAUUUGGAUCUGACUGGAACAUUUCCUAUCGACAAUUGUACCACAUCUUCGUUUUUUUUACAUGGAGCAUAAUUUAUUUUUCUAAUGGCACAUUUCUUGUUCUCCAAUCACAAUCUGUAACAUAUUUUUU
Molecule: long non-coding RNA, 377 nt
Filed under: Mytilus galloprovincialis (Mediterranean mussel)
Lineage: Eukaryota; Metazoa; Mollusca; Bivalvia; Mytilida; Mytilidae
Source: RNAcentral